UGGGGAAUUUUGGACAAUGGGCGAAAGCCUGAUCCAGCAAUGCCGCGUGUGUGAAGAAGGCCUUCGGGUUGUAAAGCACUUUUGUCCGGAAAGAAAUCCUUGGCUCUAAUACAGUCGGGGGAUGACGUACCGGAAGAAUAAGCACCGGCUAACUACGUGCCAGCAGCCGCGGUAAUACGUAGGGUGCAAGCGUUAAUCGGAAUUACUGGGCGUAAAGCGUGCGCAGGCGGUUUGCUAAGACCGAUGUGAAAUCCCCGGGCUCAACCUGGGAACUGCAUUGGUGACUGGCAGGCUAGAGUAUGGCAGAGGGGGGUAGAAUUCCACGUGUAGCAGUGAAAUGCGUAGAGAUGUGGAGGAAUACCGAUGGCGAAGGCAGCCCCCUGGGCCAAUACUGACGCUCAUGCACGAAAGCGUGGGGAGCAAACAGGAUUAGAUACCCUGGUAGUCCACGCCCUAAAACGAUGUCAACUAGUUGUUGGGGAUUCAUUUUCCUUAGUAACGUAGCUAA
RNAcentral lists this ribosomal RNA (508 nucleotides) under uncultured bacterium. RNAcentral describes it as "partial 16S ribosomal RNA". It matches the Rfam family "Bacterial small subunit ribosomal RNA", at positions 355 to 855 of the family's 1533-position model. The record is from RNAcentral.